GAUGAACGCUGGCGGCGUGCCUAAUACAUGCAAGUCGAGCGAACGGACGAGAAGUUUGCUUCUCUGAUGUUAGCGGCGGACGGGUGAGUAACACGUGGAUAACCUACCUAUAAGACUGGGAUAACUUCGGGAAACCGGAUCUAAUACCGGAUAAUAUUUUGAACCGCAUGGUUCAAAAGUGAAAGACGGUCUUGCUGUCACUAAUAGAUGGAUCCGCGCUGCAUUAGCUAGUGGGUAAGGUAACGGCUUACCAAGGCAACGAUGCAUAGCCGACCUGAGAGGGGGAUCGGCCACACUGGAACUGAGACACGGUCCAGACUCCUACGGGAGGCAGCAGUAGGGAAUCUUCCGCAAUGGGCGAAAGCCUGACGGAGCAACGCCGCGUGAGUGAUGAAGGUCUUCGGAUCGUAAAACUCUGUUAUUAGGGAGGAACAUAUGUGUAAGUAACUGUGCACAUCUUGACGGUACCUAAUCAGAAAGCCACGGCUAACUACGUG
This 497-nucleotide ribosomal RNA is filed under the name uncultured bacterium. RNAcentral's name for it is "partial 16S ribosomal RNA". It matches the Rfam family "Bacterial small subunit ribosomal RNA", at positions 28 to 507 of the family's 1533-position model. The record is from RNAcentral.